UUACAAUAAUACAAUUAAUGGGUUACUUUUUUGCAAAAUAUGAUCGUUAUGAAGAUUUUCAUAAUUGCAUUGUUAUAUGCAAAGAACUAGGUGCAUCAGCAAAUAACAAAUGCGUGCUCAAAACUCUUAAUCUUGCUUUGUUGGUGGAUAAAUCGUUUUCGGCAUGCAAACACUUUCUUAUUAUGAAGAAAUAUCUUGACAACAACAACCCAAAUUUUCACUACAAAAAAGGUAUAAUACGCUAUUUUAUCCUUGAUCAUUCUGACUUUGGUCUCCACCAUAUUGGUAAAUCAAUUGAUGUAGGCCAAAAAGAAGCUUCCUUCAUGUAUGCCAUGCUAUUAUUAUGUAGAGGCAGAACUGAAGAGGGGAAGGUCUAUCUGAGCCACCUUCAAGAGGCUGAAGACACCACCAUGGCUGAAACAUGUUGGAAAAAAAAUCAAAACAUCAUUACAUGGGAUUAGAGUGGCGAGAAAAAAUUGCUAUAUCAUAUCAUUUCGCAACAUAUAACCCCCACGCGUGUGCCAUCCAAGAUAUUUGAGCAACACAUAUGAAACGUGUUUUAUCUACAAACAAAUGUUUAAGUAUAUCUUUAUGAUAUAACUUUCAACACAUUAUCUAGAGAGUUGGAAUGAGUUUUAAGAAUUCCACCAUUAAUGUUUCAGGCGGUGAACUAUCACUAAGCUUCAAAACAAAUUACAUU
RNAcentral lists this small RNA (700 nucleotides) under Arabidopsis thaliana (thale cress). Its description in RNAcentral is "ATSL155790". Lineage: Eukaryota; Viridiplantae; Streptophyta; Magnoliopsida; Brassicales; Brassicaceae. The record is from RNAcentral.